This is a non-coding RNA of Podarcis lilfordi (Lilford's wall lizard), 68 nucleotides long. The record is from the annotation of a GenBank genome assembly. Lineage: Eukaryota; Metazoa; Chordata; Lepidosauria; Squamata; Lacertidae.
GCAGUAGCUCAGUGGUAGAGCACUGGUUUACAUGCAGGAAGUUCCAGGUUCAAUCCCUGGCACCUCCA